RNAcentral lists this ribosomal RNA (253 nucleotides) under uncultured bacterium. RNAcentral describes it as "partial 16S ribosomal RNA". It matches the Rfam family "Bacterial small subunit ribosomal RNA", at positions 524 to 776 of the family's 1533-position model. The record is from RNAcentral.
UACGGGGGGAGCAAGCGUUGUUCGGAUUUAUUGGGCGUAAAGGGCGCGUAGGCGGCGCAACAAGUCACUUGUGAAAUCUCCGGGCUUAACUCGGAGCGGCCAAGUGAUACUGUCGUGCUAGAGUGCGGAAGGGGCAACUGGAAUUCUCGGUGUAGCGGUGAAAUGCGUAGAUAUCGAGAGGAACACCUGCGGCGAAGGCGGGUUGCUGGGCCGACACUGACGCUGAGGCGCGAAAGCCAGGGGAGCGAACGGG